This 100-nucleotide microRNA precursor is filed under the name Megaselia scalaris. RNAcentral describes it as "microRNA mir-286". Lineage: Eukaryota; Metazoa; Arthropoda; Insecta; Diptera; Phoridae. The record is from RNAcentral.
UUGUGCCCAAGUCUGGAAAGAUUCUUAGUCAUUCGCAUUUAAAAAGUAUAUGUAUUAAAUGCGAAUGACUAAGAAUCUCUCCAGACCUGGAACACAAAAU